RNAcentral lists this ribosomal RNA (395 nucleotides) under uncultured bacterium. RNAcentral's name for it is "partial 16S ribosomal RNA". It matches the Rfam family "Bacterial small subunit ribosomal RNA", at positions 360 to 773 of the family's 1533-position model. The record is from RNAcentral.
AAUAUUGCACAAUGGGGGAAACCCUGAUGCAGCGACGCCGCGUGAGCGAAGAAUGCCUNCGGUUCNUNAAGCUCUGUCUUAAGGGNCAAAACGGACGGUACCUUAGGAGGAAGCACCGGCUAACUACGUGCCAGCAGCCGCGGUAAUACGUAGGGGGCGAGCGUUAUUCGGAAUUAUUGGGCGUAAAGGGUGCGUAGGCGGCUUUUUAAUUCAGAUGUGAAAGGCUACGGCAUAACCGUAGUUAGCAUUUGAAACUAAAAGGCUUGAGUGCAGGAGAGGAGAGUGGAAUUCCUAGUGUAGCGGUGAAAUGCGUAGAUAUUAGGAGGAACACCAGUGGCGAAGGCGACUCUCUGGACUGCAACUGACGCUGAGGCACGAAAGCGUGGGGAGCGAAC